CCUACGGGAGGCAGCAGUGGGGAAUAUUGGGCAAUGGGCGCAAGCCUGACCCAGCAAUGCCGCGUGAAGGAAGAAGGCUUUCGGGUUUUAAACUUCUUUGACAGGGGAAGAGCAGAAGACGGUACCCUGAAAACACGCCACGGCUACCUACGUGCCAGCCGCCGCGGUCAUACGGAGGUGGCACGCGUUUGCCGGAUUUACUGGGUGUAAAGGGAGCGUAGACGGUGCAGGAUGUCUGCUGUGAAAUGUCGGGGCACAACCCCGGGACUGCAUUGGAAACCGUUGACCUGGAGUACAGGAGAGGUAAGCGGAAGGCGUAGUGUAGCGGUGAAAUGCGUAGAUAUUAGGCGGAACACC
This 357-nucleotide ribosomal RNA is filed under the name uncultured bacterium. RNAcentral's name for it is "partial 16S ribosomal RNA". It matches the Rfam family "Bacterial small subunit ribosomal RNA", at positions 338 to 710 of the family's 1533-position model. The record is from RNAcentral.